This 503-nucleotide ribosomal RNA is filed under the name uncultured bacterium. RNAcentral describes it as "partial 16S ribosomal RNA". It matches the Rfam family "Bacterial small subunit ribosomal RNA", at positions 30 to 523 of the family's 1533-position model. The record is from RNAcentral.
AUUGAACGCUGGCGGCAUGCCUUACACAUGCAAGUCGAACGGCAGCACGGGAGCUUGCUCCUGGUGGCGAGUGGCGAACGGGUGAGUAAUACAUCGGAACGUACCCAGUAGUGGGGGAUAACGCACCGAAAGGUGCGCUAAUACCGCAUACGACCUACGGGUGAAAGCGGGGGACCGUAAGGCUUCGCGCUAUUGGAGCGGCCGAUGUCUGAUUAGCUAGUUGGCGGGGUAAAAGCCCACCAAGGCGACGAUCAGUAGCUGGUCUGAGAGGACGAUCAGCAACAAUGGGAAUGAGACACGGCCCAGACUCCUACGGGAGGCAGCAGUGGGGAAUUUUGGACAAUGGGGGCAACCCUGAUCCAGCAAUGCCGCGUGUGCGAAGAAGGCCUUCGGGUUGUAAAGCACUUUUGUCAGGGAAGAAAUCUUUUAGGCUAAUACCCUUGGAAGGAUGACGGUACCUGAAGAAUAAGCACCGGCUAACUACGUGCCAGCCGCCGCGGUAA